CCGAGUACUAUAACUCAUAACCCUUUGUGAACCUUUAUACCUGUUGCUUCGGCGGCGCGUCCUCCGGGGCGUGCCCGCCGGUAUCAUCAGAAUCUCUGUUUGAACCCGACGAUACAUCUGAGUGUUCUAAGCGAACUGUUA
RNAcentral lists this unclassified non-coding RNA (141 nucleotides) under uncultured Acremonium. RNAcentral's name for it is "sequence contains ITS1". Lineage: Eukaryota; Fungi; Ascomycota. The record is from RNAcentral.